This 456-nucleotide ribosomal RNA is filed under the name Salmonella enterica subsp. enterica serovar Typhimurium. RNAcentral's name for it is "bacterial SSU rRNA". It matches the Rfam family "Bacterial small subunit ribosomal RNA", at positions 1089 to 1533 of the family's 1533-position model. The record is from RNAcentral. Lineage: Bacteria; Pseudomonadati; Pseudomonadota; Gammaproteobacteria; Enterobacterales; Enterobacteriaceae.
GCAACGAGCGCAACCCUUAUCCUUUGUUGCCAGCGAUUAGGUCGGGAACUCAAAGGAGACUGCCAGUGAUAAACUGGAGGAAGGUGGGGAUGACGUCAAGUCAUCAUGGCCCUUACGACCAGGGCUACACACGUGCUACAAUGGCGCAUACAAAGAGAAGCGACCUCGCGAGAGCAAGCGGACCUCAUAAAGUGCGUCGUAGUCCGGAUUGGAGUCUGCAACUCGACUCCAUGAAGUCGGAAUCGCUAGUAAUCGUGGAUCAGAAUGCCACGGUGAAUACGUUCCCGGGCCUUGUACACACCGCCCGUCACACCAUGGGAGUGGGUUGCAAAAGAAGUAGGUAGCUUAACCUUCGGGAGGGCGCUUACCACUUUGUGAUUCAUGACUGGGGUGAAGUCGUAACAAGGUAACCGUAGGGGAACCUGCGGUUGGAUCACCUCCUUACCUUAAAGAAGC